Molecule: ribosomal RNA, 151 nt
Filed under: uncultured Dyella sp.
Lineage: Bacteria; Pseudomonadati; Pseudomonadota; Gammaproteobacteria; Lysobacterales; Rhodanobacteraceae
Description: partial 16S ribosomal RNA
Rfam family: Bacterial small subunit ribosomal RNA
Source: RNAcentral
ACUCCUACGGGAGGCAGCAGUGGGGAAUAUUGGACAAUGGGCGAAAGCCUGAUCCAGCAAUGCCGCGUGUGUGAAGAAGGCCUUCGGGUUGUAAAGCACUUUUAUCAGGAGCGAAAUACUGCCGGCUAAUACCCGGCGGGGCUGACGGUAC